RNAcentral lists this small RNA (754 nucleotides) under Pongo abelii (Sumatran orangutan). RNAcentral describes it as "retained intron". Lineage: Eukaryota; Metazoa; Chordata; Mammalia; Primates; Hominidae. The record is from RNAcentral.
UGUCCCCCGGAGGCGUCUGGGUGUGCGGAGCGCGCGCGCGCGCGGCUCGGAGGCGCACCUGUGAGGUGUCCCUAAGGAGAGGGAGGGCGCCCUGCGUCCGGCAGAGGAGGCGAGCAUCCCGCUCAGGUGAUGAGGAACUCCUCGCGUAACCAGUGCAGAAGGCUGCUGCCGCCGGACGCCUCCAUUGUUUGACCACAACAAGGGCCGGAUUCUCACCCAGGUAAACUGGCUGCCGGCGCUGUCCACUUCCCUCUGACUCCCGCCUCCGCAGGCGUUCUCACCCCUUCCAGGACUCGACUGCAGUUUUCUCACUGUCCCCGUCUUCUCAUGAACUCCGUAUACCCCCCUCCCAGACAUUUUCCCAUCCGGAUCCAUCUCUCCGCCACAUCCCCGCUCAUUUCCCCUAGAACUCAGCUCCUUUGUGAAACCUUUCUUGCCGAACUCUAACAACUAAAUCUCCCCGGGAGCCUGCUCCGAACUGAACUGUUCUGGUUGCUAGAUUGCUUAUGGGCUGUCUUAUUGCAACAAAGGAGACCAGAUACUGAAAACAGAUUUCCGAGCUAUUGCCUUCUUCAAGGAACGUUUUCUGAUAUUUACAGUUUAUUGUUUUCACAAGAUGAAACGGUUUUUAGGCAUUUUGUCUUCUUAUUUAGAGAGGGCUCCUAUUUCCUUCAUAGACGCAUAGUUUUUUAGAGCAGGAAAUUGACCUUGUUCAACUCGCAGGUUAAUUAAAAAUUUAAAAAUUAAUUUUAAA